RNAcentral lists this non-coding RNA (254 nucleotides) under Paraburkholderia phymatum. RNAcentral also lists the same sequence under 1 other name. The record is from RNAcentral. Lineage: Bacteria; Pseudomonadati; Pseudomonadota; Betaproteobacteria; Burkholderiales; Burkholderiaceae.
CUACACUUGCGGCACUUUGGUGCCCGCGCGCGGUAUCGUCCCGCGCGCAGUUAAACGGGAAGCAGGAAGCGAGUCCGCCCGGAUGAGCCAACCUGCGCUGUCCUCGCAACGGUACAACGAUGCAUGUCGAUCCAUCGCAAUCGUCGAGCCGAUCAUCGGCCGAUGCCGUGCGACGAACGCCACUGCGCAUGACGCGUGGGAAGGCGGGUCGGCCAGUCGCCAGCCCGGAUACCGGCCAGAGUCGGAGCGCAUGA